AUGGUUCGGGCGACCCGGUCGUUUCCUUUACAAGUAUCUACUCGGUUGAAUCUGCUCCCAGACUCUGAGUACCGUACACUCCACUUUGUGGCCCAGUCUCAGCCACAGACCGCAGAGCAGCUGUCCGGCAAGCAAGAGCACAAGCCAAAAAGCGGAGGGAACACGAAAAUGAUUAAGGGGGCUCGGACGAAACCGAGUCGGCACCCUCCGCAUAAAACUUGCAAUGCUAAAAAGCAAACAUUUGAUAUAUCUGCGCGGACUAACUUUGUCUUUUUCAUGAUCAUUUCCAUGAACACUCGCCAAAAAACCUCCGCCCAACUUUGUGAAGUUGCCCGGAGGCUUGGGGGCUACUGUCGGAGUAUUUAG
This 366-nucleotide ribosomal RNA is filed under the name Triticum aestivum (bread wheat). RNAcentral describes it as "partial small subunit ribosomal RNA". Lineage: Eukaryota; Viridiplantae; Streptophyta; Magnoliopsida; Poales; Poaceae. The record is from RNAcentral.